GACGAACGCUGGCGGCGUGCUUAACACAUGCAAGUCGAACGGAAAGGCCCUGCUUUUGUGGGGUGCUCGAGUGGCGAACGGGUGAGUAACACGUGAGUAACCUGCCCUUGACUUUGGGAUAACUUCAGGAAACUGGGGCUAAUACCGGAUAGGAGCUCCUGCUGCAUGGUGGGGGUUGGAAAGUUUCGGCGGUUGGGGAUGGACUCGCGGCUUAUCAGCUUGUUGGUGGGGUAGUGGCGUACCAAGGCUUUGACGGGUAGCCGGCCUGAGAGGGUGACCGGCCACAUUGGGACUGAGAUACGGCCCAGACUCCUACGGGAGGCAGCAGUGGGGAAUAUUGCACAAUGGGCGGAAGCCUGAUGCAGCAACGCCGCGUGCGGGAUGACGGCCUUCGGGUUGUAAACCGCUUUCGCCUGUGACGAAGCGCGAGUGACGGUAAUGGGUAAAGAAGCACCGGCUAACUACGUG
Molecule: ribosomal RNA, 468 nt
Filed under: uncultured bacterium
Lineage: Bacteria
Description: partial 16S ribosomal RNA
Rfam family: Bacterial small subunit ribosomal RNA
Source: RNAcentral